AUGAGAUUGAGAAGGAAGAUGAGAUUGAGAGGAUGGGAGGGAGAAGUAACAAAAGUGAAAACUAAAAACUAAAAUCUAUUUGAAAUUAUUUUUACUUUCAAGUUUUUAUUUUCACUUUUGUUACUCAUCCCUACCAUCCUUUUCUCUCAUCCUCUCUCUUAAUCUCA
This 167-nucleotide microRNA precursor is filed under the name Prunus dulcis (almond). RNAcentral's name for it is "sRNA ncRNA". The record is from RNAcentral. Lineage: Eukaryota; Viridiplantae; Streptophyta; Magnoliopsida; Rosales; Rosaceae.